Molecule: ribosomal RNA, 253 nt
Filed under: uncultured bacterium
Lineage: Bacteria
Description: partial 16S ribosomal RNA
Rfam family: Bacterial small subunit ribosomal RNA
Source: RNAcentral
UACAGAGGGGGCAAGCGUUGUUCGGAAUUACUGGGCGUAAAGGGCGCGUAGGCGGCCUGUUAAGUCGAACGUGAAAUCCCCGGGCUCAACCCGGGAACUGCGUCCGAUACUGGCAGGCUUGAAUCCGGGAGAGGGAUGCGGAAUUCCAGGUGUAGCGGUGAAAUGCGUAGAUAUUUGGAGGAACACCGGUGGCGAAGGCGGCAUCCUGGACCGGUAUUGACGCUGAGGCGCGAAAGCCAGGGGAGCAAACGGG